This 475-nucleotide long non-coding RNA is filed under the name Heterocephalus glaber (naked mole-rat). Its description in RNAcentral is "lncRNA (ENSHGLG00100051431.1)". Lineage: Eukaryota; Metazoa; Chordata; Mammalia; Rodentia; Bathyergidae. The record is from RNAcentral.
GUCAACAUGAGAGCUUGGUUGGGUGAUUGGGGCAGGACUGACAUGUGAUUUAUGAUUACUCCUUGAAUCGGCAGGUUACCUAUCCAAAUAGGCCAUAGGGACCUCCACAAAUGAUACAAAUGAAAUACAAUUCCCUUUGCCUUUCAAACACAAGUCCAGCAUUUUCAAAGCCCAUUUCUACUGGCACGUUAUAGGACCCCACAAAGAGAGCUUCUACCUCAAGAAGUCUGAUGUCUGCAUAGGGGAGACAUGCAUACCAAUAAAAAGCUCUGGACAGAACCUGUUAUAAAGAUAUAAAAUGUGCCCAAGAGCAUGAAGAAAGCAUCAUUCUCACCUUCACAGUGUAGUAGUCCAAGUGGUCUACUAGGGAGACAAAUAUUUCUGCACGAGUGAUAGUCCCCACCAGACUCUAAACAGCUUUGUGGCAUUGCCCUUCAUACUUUCUCUCAGAAAAGAGAAAUAAAAGGCUUCCCAG